Molecule: ribosomal RNA, 292 nt
Filed under: uncultured Acidobacteriota bacterium
Lineage: Bacteria; Pseudomonadati; Acidobacteriota
Description: uncultured Acidobacteria bacterium partial 16S ribosomal RNA
Source: RNAcentral
GGACUACACGGGUAUCUAAUCCCGUUUGCUCCCCUGGCUUUCGCGCCUCAGCGUCAAUGCCGGUCCAGGAUGCCGCCUUCGCCACCGGUGUUCCUCCAGAUAUCUACGCAUUUCACCGCUACACCUGGAAUUCCGCAUCCCUCUCCCGGAUUCAAGCCCACCAGUAUCGGACGCAGUUCCCGGGUUGAGCCCGGGGAUUUCACGUUCGACUUAGCGGGCCGCCUACGCGCCCUUUACGCCCAGUAAUUCCGAACAACGCUUGCCCCCUCUGUAUUACCGCGGCUGCUGGCAC